GCCUGGCUGGCUUGGUCAGUAGAGCAUGUGACUUGUGAUCUCAGGGUCAUGAGUUCAAGCCCCAUGCUGGGUA
RNAcentral lists this transfer RNA (73 nucleotides) under Ailuropoda melanoleuca (giant panda). It matches the Rfam family "tRNA". From Rfam's summary of the family: Transfer RNA (tRNA) molecules are approximately 80 nucleotides in length. Lineage: Eukaryota; Metazoa; Chordata; Mammalia; Carnivora; Ursidae. The record is from Rfam by way of RNAcentral.